This is a long non-coding RNA of Daphnia carinata, 705 nucleotides long. RefSeq lists it as uncharacterized. NCBI's taxonomy places the organism in Eukaryota, Metazoa, Arthropoda, Branchiopoda, Diplostraca, Daphniidae. The record is from RefSeq and is a predicted model, not a curated record. The transcript has 2 exons.
AUCCACUCACCUGUUGGGCCGACAAAAACAAAAAUUGAGACGUGAGAAAAGAAAAGAAGUCUGUCUGUCAGUCUAUCUCUCUUUCAUGAAAAACGAGUGUGUGAUUACGUCGUCAAGAGAGAAGCUCACGACUUGAUGACAUCCGCAUGAAAGCCAGAAAGAAAGAGGCAUAAGGUUUCUAAAGAUUUUGGAGAUCGAGUAAACUCCCUUACUCAUCAAGCCGGAUGACUCUAGCGAACCAGUCUGCCCGAACAAUUCUUCUGCAAGAAAGACCAGGGAAGGUCAAAGUAUUCCGGUAGAAAGUCAUACUCGGAUUGCUCACGCAACGUCAAAAACCGACCCCAGGAACAAUCAAAAGGGCCAAGGUUUUUUUUCUUUUUUAAUUUUUUUUUGGCUAGAGGAAUCGGAAAGGGAAAGGAAAAUUCCUAUUGUACUAUCCGUAUGGAAAUGACGAGACAUCCGCAAACGCCUCUACUGCGGUUUCCCUACCGUAAAAAUGGGGAAAAUAAAAAAACAGCCGUAGAGGAUGAAAAGAGAAACAGAAUAAUUGUAAAUCAUGUCCGCCUUUCUUUUCCCUUUUUCCCUUUUAUUUCUAUUUUUAUUUCAUGCAGCAAGUUAUCAACGACUUGCUAUGGGCCUAUCAUCCGAUGCUACGCGCGAUUAAAGCUCUACCGGCCUCUGUCAUUCAAUAAAAAGACGACAUAA